Mauremys reevesii (Reeves's turtle) is the source of this 396-nucleotide long non-coding RNA. RefSeq lists it as uncharacterized. NCBI's taxonomy places the organism in Eukaryota, Metazoa, Chordata, Testudines, Geoemydidae. The transcript has 2 exons. The record is from RefSeq and is a predicted model, not a curated record.
UGAACGAGCGGGUGUACGGCGCUGCCUUCCGCUGCACGAGGGCCCCUUCGAGACGCCUGAGUCUGAGGUCCCCGCUGAAGCCCUGAACCCUCGCCAAGUCCUCUACCGCUUCUGGGCCCAGUGGGGCUGCUGGUACCGGUGCGUGUCGGGGAUCCUUCCCUCUCCUCCCUGAGGCCAGAGGGGGGCUGUGGCUGGAUACACACCUCCCCCUGCAGGGAACGAGGCCGCCUGCCCCAAAGCACAGACACAGACCAGAGGAGUUUAAGGAGACUCUCUCUUCAGGUCUCCAGCCACUAACUGGUGCCAGUCCUGGACAUGUGAGCAGAGCCGAGUGCAGCGAUGCACCGACUCCCCCCAGCGAUGGCACUGGGUUGGCAGGUGGCACCAUUCAUGGCA